RNAcentral lists this ribosomal RNA (465 nucleotides) under uncultured Serratia sp. RNAcentral describes it as "bacterial SSU rRNA". It matches the Rfam family "Bacterial small subunit ribosomal RNA", at positions 338 to 795 of the family's 1533-position model. The record is from RNAcentral. Lineage: Bacteria; Pseudomonadati; Pseudomonadota; Gammaproteobacteria; Enterobacterales; Yersiniaceae.
CCUACGGGGGGCUGCAGUGGGGAAUAUUGCACAAUGGGCGCAAGCCUGAUGCAGCCAUGCCGCGUGUGUGAAGAAGGCCUUCGGGUUGUAAAGCACUUUCAGCGAGGAGGAAGGGUAGUGUGUUAAUAGCACAUUGCAUUGACGUUACUCGCAGAAGAAGCACCGGCUAACUCCGUGCCAGCAGCCGCGGUAAUACGGAGGGUGCAAGCGUUAAUCGGAAUUACUGGGCGUAAAGCGCACGCAGGCGGUUUGUUAAGUCAGAUGUGAAAUCCCCGCGCUUAACGUGGGAACUGCAUUUGAAACUGGCAAGCUAGAGUCUUGUAGAGGGGGGUAGAAUUCCAGGUGUAGCGGUGAAAUGCGUAGAGAUCUGGAGGAAUACCGGUGGCGAAGGCGGCCCCCUGGACAAAGACUGACGCUCAGGUGCGAAAGCGUGGGGAGCAAACAGGAUUAGAUACCCCAGUAGUC